AAACACUGUGUUUCGGAUAUUGGGCGUAGAGCUCGUAGGCGGUUUGUCGCGUCUGCUGUGAAAGACCGGGGCUCAACUCCGGUUCUGCAGUGGGUACGGGCAGACUAGAGUGCAGUAGGGGAGACUGGAAUUCCUGGUGUAGCGGUGAAAUGCGCAGAUAUCAGGAGGAACACCGAUGGCGAAGGCAGGUCUCUGGGCUGUAACUGACGCUGAGGAGCGAAAGCAUGGGGAGCGAACAGGAUUAGAUACCCUGGUAGUCCAUGCCGUAAACGUUGGGCACUAGGUGUGGGGGACAUUCCACGUUUUCCGCGCCGUAGCUAACGCAUUAAGUGCCCCGCCUGGGGAGUACGGCCGCAAGGCUAAAACUCAAAGGAAUUGACGGGGGCCCGCACAAGCGGCGGAGCAUGCGGAUUAAUUCGAUGCAACGCGAAGAACCUUACCAAGGCUUGACAUGAACCGGUAAUACCUGGAAACAGGUGCCCCGCUUGCGGUCGGUUUACAGGUGGUGCAUGGUUGUCGUCAGCUCGUGUCGUGAGAUGUUGGGUUAAGUCCCGCAACGAGCGCAACCCUCGUUCUAUGUUGCCAGCGCGUUAUGGCGGGGACUCAUAGGAGACUGCCGGGGUCAACUCGGAGGAAGGUGGGGACGACGUCAAAUCAUCAUGCCCCUUAUGUCUUGGGCUUCACGCAUGCUACAAUGGCCGGUACAAAGGGUUGCGAUACUGUGAGGUGGAGCUAAUCCCAAAAAGCCGGUCUCAGUUCGGAUUGGGGUCUGCAACUCGACCCCAUGAAGUCGGAGUCGCUAGUAAUCGCAGAUCAGCAACGCUGCGGUGAAUACGUUCCCGGGCCUUGUACACACCGCCCGUCAAGUCACGAAAGUUGGUAACACCCGAAGCCGGUGGCCUAACCCUUGUGGGGGGAGCCGUCGAAGGUGGGACCGGCGAUUGGGACUAAGUCGUACACAAGGUAGCA
RNAcentral lists this ribosomal RNA (969 nucleotides) under Arthrobacter sp. RNAcentral describes it as "bacterial SSU rRNA". It matches the Rfam family "Bacterial small subunit ribosomal RNA", at positions 533 to 1501 of the family's 1533-position model. The record is from RNAcentral. Lineage: Bacteria; Bacillati; Actinomycetota; Actinomycetes; Micrococcales; Micrococcaceae.